This 490-nucleotide ribosomal RNA is filed under the name uncultured bacterium. RNAcentral's name for it is "partial 16S ribosomal RNA". It matches the Rfam family "Bacterial small subunit ribosomal RNA", at positions 30 to 507 of the family's 1533-position model. The record is from RNAcentral.
AUUGAACGCCGGCGGCAGGCCUAACACAUGCAAGUCGAGCGGUAACAGGGAUCAGCUUGCUGAUUCGCUGACGAGUGGCGGACGGGUGAGUAAUGUCUGGGAAACUGCCUGAUGGAGGGGGAUAACUACUGGAAACGGUAGCUAAUACCGCAUAACGUCGCAAGACCAAAGAGGGGGACCUUCGGGCCUCUUGCCAUCGGAUGUGCCCAGAUGGGAUUAGCUAGUAGGUGGGGUAACGGCUCACCUAGGCGACGAUCCCUAGCUGGUCUGAGAGGAUGACCAGCCACACUGGAACUGAGACACGGUCCAGACUCCUACGGGAGGCAGCAGUGGGGAAUAUUGCACAAUGGGCGCAAGCCUGAUGCAGCCAUGCCGCGUGUAUGAAGAAGGCCUUCGGGUUGUAAAGUACUUUCAGCGGGGAGGAAGGGAGUAAAGUUAAUACCUUUGCUCAUUGACGUUACCCGCAGAAGAAGCACCGGCUAACUCCGUG